This 826-nucleotide ribosomal RNA is filed under the name Lactiplantibacillus plantarum. Its description in RNAcentral is "bacterial SSU rRNA". It matches the Rfam family "Bacterial small subunit ribosomal RNA", at positions 61 to 851 of the family's 1533-position model. Lineage: Bacteria; Bacillati; Bacillota; Bacilli; Lactobacillales; Lactobacillaceae. The record is from RNAcentral.
GUCGAACGAACUCUGGUAUUGAGUGUUGCUUGCAUCAUGAUUUACAUUUGAGUGAGUGGCGAACUGGUGAGUAACACGUGGGAAACCUGCCCGAAAGCGGGGGAUAACACCUGGAAACACAUGCUAAUACCGCAUAACACCUUGGACCGCAUGGCCCUAGUUUGAAACAUGGCUUCAGCUAUCACUUUUGGAUGGUCCCGCUCCGCAUUACCUAGAUGGUGGGGUGACGGCUCACCAUGACCAUGAUACCUAGCCCACCUGAGAGGGCAAUCCUCCACCUUGAGACUGAGACGCGGACCAUUCUCCUACGGGAGGCAGCCUGAUGGAAUCUUCCCCCAUGGACGAAAAUCGGAUGCAGCAUCGCCGCCUGAGUGAAUAAGGAUUACGGCUCGUAAAACUCUGUUGUUAUGUAAUAACAUAUCUGACAGAAACUGUUCCGGUAUUGACUGUAUUUAACCAGAAAGCCAUACCUAACUACCUGCCGUUAGCCGCGGUAACUGGUAGGUGGCAAGCGUUGUCCGGAUUUAUUGGGCGUAUGCGAGCGCCCGCGGUUUUUUAAGUCUGAUGUGAAAGCCUUCACUCAACCGAAGAAGUGCAUCGGAAACUGGGAAACUUGAGUGCAGAAGAGGACAGUGGAACUCCAUGUGUAGCGGUGAAAUGCGUAGAUAUAUGGAAGAACACCCUGGGCGAAAGCGGCUGUCUGGUGUGUAGCUGACACUGAGGCUCGAAAGGAUGGGUAGCACACAAGAUUAUAUACCCUGGUAGUCCAUACCGUAGACGAUGAAUGCUAACUGCUGGAGCAUUACCGCCCUUCCCUGCUGCGUAU